UGGCCUACGGGGGGCAGCAGUGGGGAAUAUUGGGCAAUGGGCGCAAGCCUGACCCAGCAACGCCGCGUGAAGGAAGAAGGCUUUCGGGUUGUAAACUUCUUUUCUCAGGGACGAAGAAAGUGACGGUACCUGAGGAAUAAGCCACGGCUAACUACGUGCCAGCAGCCGCGGUAAUACGUAGGUGGCAAGCGUUAUCCGGAUUUAUUGGGUGUAAAGGGCGUGCAGCCGGAGAGACAAGU
This 239-nucleotide ribosomal RNA is filed under the name uncultured bacterium. RNAcentral describes it as "partial 16S ribosomal RNA". It matches the Rfam family "Bacterial small subunit ribosomal RNA", at positions 335 to 588 of the family's 1533-position model. The record is from RNAcentral.